UACGAGGGGGGCAAGUGUUGUUCGGAAUUACUGGGCGUAAAGCGCACGUAGGCGGCUUUGUAAGUUAGAGGUGAAAGCCCGGGGCUCAACUCCGGAAUUGCCUUUAAGACUGCAUCGCUAGAAUUGUGGAGAGGUAAGUGGAAUUCCGAGUGUAGAGGUGAAAUUCGUAGAUAUUCGGAAGAACACCAGUGGCGAAGGCGACUUACUGGACACAUAUUGACGCUGAGGUGCGAAAGCGUGGGGAGCAAACAGG
Molecule: ribosomal RNA, 253 nt
Filed under: uncultured bacterium
Lineage: Bacteria
Description: partial 16S ribosomal RNA
Rfam family: Bacterial small subunit ribosomal RNA
Source: RNAcentral